AGGUGAGGGCGUGUGGCUGAAGCCUGUUCCUGCUUGGGGGUUGGCCACACAGCAUCCCAACUCCAGGUCCAGAGCCGAGCCUGACAGCCCUCCUCCACUGCCUCCUGGAGCUGCCGGAGAGAGGUCCGGGUCCGUUCUCCCCAAUUCACAGACAUGAAGACUGAGGCCGUGGUUCCAGUGGCUGCUCGGUGGUGGGGCUGGAGCUUGGCAGCAUCCUGCAGCCCUCUGGACUCCCGGCUCUCGAGUGCCGCGUUCUACCUGCUGUGUUCUAAAUGGACAUGCCAUCCCCACAGCUGUGUCAAUAAAGCAGCCAUUUACAGAGCGGGCGCCGGAUCCCGUGACAGGUUGAAAACAGCUGCCGUGUGCCAUUGGCACCUCCUGUGUGCCAAGUGCUGGCUUAGUCUCCCCUGGCGUUUUCUCAUAUCCCAUUAACAACCCACCCAGUGGGUAUCAUCAUCCCCAUUUCACAGGAGCUGUCACUGCCUCUCUCCUUGAUGGCGGGGUAUGAAGAGAAGCCUUUUGACGCAGGGAGAUGACCCCUCCCCGGCCUCCACCUACACAGCAGCCACGUGGCCACCCUGAACAGCUGCCACAGUGACCGACACCCCCUGGAUGUGUUUGUCCUCCCACAGCAAAGCACAAUUAACAUCCCCACUGGUAAAUGAUAUGGGGCCAUAUUUCACCUGGACCCAAAUGUGGGCCACAGAGGCAUUAAAAUAAAUGACGGCACGG
RNAcentral lists this long non-coding RNA (732 nucleotides) under Homo sapiens (human). RNAcentral's name for it is "novel transcript, antisense to MACROD1". Lineage: Eukaryota; Metazoa; Chordata; Mammalia; Primates; Hominidae. The record is from RNAcentral.